RNAcentral lists this ribosomal RNA (481 nucleotides) under uncultured bacterium. RNAcentral describes it as "partial 16S ribosomal RNA". It matches the Rfam family "Bacterial small subunit ribosomal RNA", at positions 30 to 507 of the family's 1533-position model. The record is from RNAcentral.
UUGCACGCUGGCGGCAUGCUUUACACCUGCAAGUCGAACGGUAACAGGCCGCAAGGUGCUGACGAGUGGCGAACGGGUGAGUAAUGCAUCGGAACGUGCCCAGUCGUGGGGGAUAACUACUCGAAAGAGUAGCUAAUACCGCAUACGAUCUAUGGAUGAAAGCGGGGGACCGUAAGGCCUCGCGCGAUUGGAGCGGCCGAUGUCAGAUUAGGUAGUUGGUGGGGUAAAGGCUCACCAAGCCAACGAUCUGUAGCUGGUCUGAGAGGACGACCAGCCACACUGGGACUGAGACACGGCCCAGACUCCUACGGGAGGCAGCAGUGGGGAAUUUUGGACAAUGGGCGCAAGCCUGAUCCAGCAAUGCCGCGUGCAGGAAGAAGGCCUUCGGGUUGUAAACUGCUUUUGUACGGAACGAAACGGCUCUGGUUAAUACCCGGGGCUAAUGACGGUACCGUAAGAAUAAGCACCGGCUAACUACGUG